GACGAACGCUGGCGGCGUGCUUAACACAUGCAAGUCGAACGGUGAAGCGAGUGCUUGCACUCGUGGAUCAGUGGCGAACGGGUGAGUAACACGUGAGUAACCUGCCCUCCACUCUGGGAUAAGCGCUGGAAACGGCGUCUAAUACUGGAUACGACCAAUCCCUGCAUGGGGUGUUGGUGGAAAGAUUUAUCGGUGGUGGAUGGACUCGCGGCCUAUCAGCUUGUUGGUGGGGUAAUGGCCUACCAAGGCGACGACGGGUAGCCGGCCUGAGAGGGCGACCGGCCACACUGGGACUGAGACACGGCCCAG
This 309-nucleotide ribosomal RNA is filed under the name uncultured Kytococcus sp. RNAcentral describes it as "bacterial SSU rRNA". It matches the Rfam family "Bacterial small subunit ribosomal RNA", at positions 28 to 334 of the family's 1533-position model. Lineage: Bacteria; Bacillati; Actinomycetota; Actinomycetes; Micrococcales; Kytococcaceae. The record is from RNAcentral.